This 348-nucleotide unclassified non-coding RNA is filed under the name soil metagenome. RNAcentral's name for it is "partial contains 5.8S ribosomal RNA, internal transcribed spacer 2, and large subunit ribosomal RNA". The stretch from base 1 to 120 matches the Rfam family "5.8S ribosomal RNA", at positions 35 to 154 of the family's 154-position model. The record is from RNAcentral.
GAUGAAGAACGCAGCAAAAUGCGAUAAGAAAUGUGAAUUGCAGAAUUCAGUGAAUCAUCGAAUCUUUGAACGCACAUUGCGCCCGCUGGUAUUCCGGCGGGCAUGCCUGUUCGAGCGUCAUUUCAACCCUCAAGCCCCCGGGUUUGGUGUUGGGGAUCGGCUCUGCCCUUCUGGGCGGUGCCGCCCCCGAAAUACAUUGGCGGUCUCGCUGCAGCCUCCAUUGCGUAGUAGCUAACACCUCGCAACUGGAACGCGGCGCGGCCAUGCCGUAAAACCCCAACUUCUGAAUGUUGACCUCGGAUUAGGUAGGAAUACCCGCUGAACUUAAGCAUAUCAAUAAGCGGAGGA